Balaenoptera musculus (blue whale) is the source of this 320-nucleotide long non-coding RNA. RefSeq lists it as uncharacterized. The transcript is spliced from 3 exons. The record is from RefSeq and is a predicted model, not a curated record. NCBI's taxonomy places the organism in Eukaryota, Metazoa, Chordata, Mammalia, Artiodactyla, Balaenopteridae.
CUGUGCUCAGUCACUGGAGCAGUCCAAGUGACACAUUUGACAAGGCAGAACACGAAAUUUAUCUCUUUAAUAUGGAGCAUUUUGCCAGGGAGGCUGAGUUUUGGAGCAAACUAAUGACUGUCAGGUGACCUGAAUCGGUGGACAUUCGUGAGACUGCCACACUUCACAGCGUUCUGCACAAAGGGAGAACUCAAUACGAGUUGACUGCUUACCAGAAUGGAACAUUCUGACGUUUCAGAACAACAAGCUCAGCUUGAGGUGUUUCAAAAAGGCAUGCAUCAAAUGUCACAAAGUUGUUAUAAGAGAUUCAACAGCUUUCA